Molecule: long non-coding RNA, 1379 nt
Organism: Mus musculus (house mouse)
Lineage: Eukaryota; Metazoa; Chordata; Mammalia; Rodentia; Muridae
Product: predicted gene 29481
Exons: 3
Source: RefSeq, a predicted model, not a curated record
UGCCAAGGUAAGAUGUAGGCUGGAAGGCCUCAGGCUGGUAUGUGUGCGGAGCAGGGUACGUCUGGCAGGGAUAAGAGAUACACAAGGAUGUCAGGGUAUAUGUUCCUAUUUCUGUGUGUUUGGAGGUGGGUAGAGUGAGCAGGGUACCAACCAAACUAUACCUGCUGCUGCCAGGCACCGGGUGACAGUGCCCAGAGAACUGUAGGAGGUGGCUUUGGCAAUGGCAGGGCUGUAUGUAGAGAGAGGCAUAGAAAGGCCUGUUCUGAGGGCAUUUGAGAGGGAGAUAGUCAAGAGACUCAGGCCACACAAUGUGUCUUGUGGGUUCUGUCUCUCCCCAGAAACAGGGUUCUCCAUGGCUGGCUAUCUACUGCCAUUCCCAAGCAAGUUGGGGCCACAGGCCACCCCUCUGGGCAAUACUCUUACUUUCCUCAUUCAGAGUGCCUACGACACCAGUUGAGUUUGGUCUCUAGUCUGCAAGCCCCCUCAGUUUCAGAAGAAUCCCACAGCAGGAAUUCCCUGCUCACCAAGGCCCUGGUGUUACACUUAUCCAGGAAAGCUCCCCACACAUUUAAGAGCAAAGCCUGGGGCUUGGGAGGUCCUUGGGACAUUGCAUAGGCACUCCAAGCUCAUAAAGAUUCGGUUCCCAGAGCUCCUGAGGCAGCAGGGAAGGGAAGGGAGGGGAAGGGCUGCUCUCAGCAGCUGCAGGGCCGAGGCCGCCGCCAGGAGGGCCGCUCUUCUUACAAAGAGAUGACAAGGCCCCUGGGCGGGAUCCAAGACGCCGACCACCUGCAGCUGGGCUCGCAGCUCCAGGCGGCCCGGAGCGCCCGGUCAGACCACGAGUGUGCUAGGAUAGGGGCGCUGGCGGGCACAAGUUCCUAGUGACACACCUUCAUGUUCAUCUGCUGCUUUAUGAAUGGUCUUCCAAGUCCUUUGCUCAUUAAAGGAAGCCAAUUUUCAGGGUUGGGAUGAUGGCUUAGUGGACAAAGAGCAUAUGCAAGCAUGAAGAUCUGUGUUUGGAUUCCUGGCACAUGCAGUAACAUACAUGGAUCCCACAAACAUGGAGGGCACACCCUCAUGAAUAUGCAACUCCUAUUGAUCCUGUUUCUAUGGAGACCACCAAUCAAUACAGUGUGGAUUCAAUAAGGCUCAUGUGUAAAGUGAAGACUUGGCUUGUGGAGUUGUGGAACAGCCUGUGGUGUAGCUCAGUCCAUCAAAAAGGCCCCAGAAGCCGAGAGCCAGUGGUAUGGAUUCUGGCCAGAAGGAUGCUGGCAGUUCAGCAUCAGCAGGCAGGGAGUAAAGGGGACCCAUCCCUCCUCAUUUCUUUACUCUGUCUGGAUCAGCAGGGUAGUGGUUAGUGUCACCUCAGAUCAGUUGAAGUU